RNAcentral lists this unclassified non-coding RNA (225 nucleotides) under Hevea brasiliensis (rubber tree). The record is from RNAcentral. Lineage: Eukaryota; Viridiplantae; Streptophyta; Magnoliopsida; Malpighiales; Euphorbiaceae.
GUUAACUUUGCGGUUUCCUCUUUUUGUUCGAUGAGAGCCGGAGAUUGUGACUGCCGGUCUGGGAAUUGAGACCUCCGGAAUGACCGACAAAGACUCUGAAGCGAAGAGCUUCCGAGCUAUGGUGGAGAGCGCCAACCGGAAGUUCGCUAGGGUCCAAGACGUCCCGGCCUACGGGCGUGUGGACAACCAUCACUACUUUCAUAAGGUUUUCAAGGCUUAUAUGCG